Molecule: ribosomal RNA, 462 nt
Filed under: uncultured bacterium
Lineage: Bacteria
Description: bacterial SSU rRNA
Rfam family: Bacterial small subunit ribosomal RNA
Source: RNAcentral
AUGAACGUUUGCGGCGUGCCUUAUGCAUGCAAGUCGAACGGUCUGACAUUUCGCAAGAACGGUCAGACAGUGGCGAACGGCUGAGUAAUACGUAAGUGACCUGCCUCUAAGUGUAGAAUAGCCCGCCGAAAGGUGGGGUAAUACUGCAUGUGGUAGCGAAGGUAGUGCUUCGCUACUAAAGCCUUCGGGCGCUUGGAGAGGGGCUUGCGUCCGAUUAGCUAGUUGGUAGGGUAAUGGCCUACCAAGGCGACGAUCGGUAGCUGGUUUGAGAGGACGACCAGCCAGACGGGGACUGAGACACGGCCCCGACUCCUACGGGAGGCAGCAGCAAGGAAUCUUGCGCAAUGGGCGAAAGCCUGACGCAGCGACGCCGCGUGAGGGAUGAAGGCCUUCGGGUUGUAAACCUCUUUUCUCGAGGAAGAUAAUGACGGUACUCGAGGAAUAAGUCUCGGCUAACUACGU